This is a long non-coding RNA of Asparagus officinalis (garden asparagus), 628 nucleotides long. RefSeq lists it as uncharacterized. The transcript is spliced from 3 exons. NCBI's taxonomy places the organism in Eukaryota, Viridiplantae, Streptophyta, Magnoliopsida, Asparagales, Asparagaceae. The record is from RefSeq and is a predicted model, not a curated record.
CAUCUACAAUCAGUUGAUGCUUGCUGUUAUAUGAUUCUUGGAGAGCUGUGUGCUGCACCUUGUGGUCUCAGAGCAUUAGUUGAUUUCAUUGAAUCCAAGUUUCAUCCCUACUAAGGUCAAACAAAAGAAUUUGACAUACAAUGCAACUUACUGUUGAAUUUCUCUGGGAAAUAACAUAAGUUGAAUAGCCUUAUGCAUGGCUGCUGUUGAUGGCACAAUUGUUGCUUGCAGAAAAGCUAGGCAGCUUUUUAGAGGCCAAAUUGGGAAUUUUGAGGCGGCAUGGUGAGAUUUCUGUGGAGCGCAGAAUACAAAUUCAAAUCAAGCUGUGGAUGCUGGACAAGCCAUAUAAGCUUAUAAGUAUUAGCAGAUACAUAUGUGCAUGUAUCGAAGUCUAAACGUUAAGCCUGAAUUUGUUGAAGAGGAGAUCAUUUGUGGUACGGUUACCUCGGUUAUGAAAUAUGUAUGAAUUGGACGGUGUAAUCACACGAUGUUGACCUAUAAAUGUUUGUAUGUACAAAAACUAAAAUAUUAAUGCAUGUGAAUUGUGAAGUGAAGUUUUUCCAUAUAAAGGUUCAAGGGACCGCUACUAGUAUGUGUGAGAUCUGGACUGGGAUAUUUUUGGGGUUAG